UUUUUCCUCAUAACUCAUCAGAUCUCGCCUCCUUCAUAGUGGUUAUCUGAACACUGUAGGAUCGUGAUGGAAAUUGUCUUUUGAUUAUUAAGGCCUAGGCUCAGACUGUCCCUUAGGAAUCUGUCUGUGUGCAUGUUGCUUCUAUGGAUUUGCACAUUGGAGGAUGCAUAGAAAACAUAUUUUUUUUUAAAAAAAUCCCACUGGCAUUUUUAACAUGCCAGGUUGUUUUGUGUUCUGCACCAGGUUUUCUUCACAAAACCUUUCUUUUUCAGAAAGCAUUGUACAUAAGUGAAAGAAAUUAUGUCUGAGCUGUAAUCACUCUUUAUAUUGAUUGUUAUACUCACAUGAUCAUAAAUAUUAGCCAUGUUUGGUGCUGUGGAGAAAUGAAGUGCUGCUGGCUCUGGUUUAAAGCAAGCGUUUGCAGGCGAUUGAAGACGGCAAUUUGGAGGAAAUGGAAGAGGAAGUACGGCUUAAGAAGCGAAAAAGACGAAGAAAUGUGGAUAAAGAUCCUGCGAAAGAAGAUGUGGAAAAAGCUAAGAAGAGAAGAGGCCGCCCUCCCGCUGAGAAACUGUCACCAAACCC
This 582-nucleotide small RNA is filed under the name Pongo abelii (Sumatran orangutan). Its description in RNAcentral is "processed transcript". The record is from RNAcentral. Lineage: Eukaryota; Metazoa; Chordata; Mammalia; Primates; Hominidae.